GGAGUUUGGGCCGUGUCUCAGUCCCAAUGUGGCCGUUCAACCUCUCAGUCCGGCUAUUGAUCGUCGUCUUGGUGGUCCGUUACACCGCCAACUAACUAAUCAAACGCGGGUCCAUCUCGUAGCGAUGAAUCUUUUCCCCCUGGACCAUGCGGUCCUGUGGGCUUAUGCGGUAUUAGCAGUCGUUUCCAACUGUUGUCCCCCUGUACAAGGUAGGUUACCCACGCGUUACUCACCCGUCCGCCACUCAGUCAACAAAUCGUCACCCCGAAGGGAUCGUGAUAAGUUGCUUCGUUCGACUUGCAUGUGUUAAGCACGCCGCCAGCGUUCAUCCUGAGCCAAGAUCAAACUCU
RNAcentral lists this ribosomal RNA (350 nucleotides) under uncultured Pseudobutyrivibrio sp. RNAcentral's name for it is "partial 16S ribosomal RNA". The record is from RNAcentral. Lineage: Bacteria; Bacillati; Bacillota; Clostridia; Lachnospirales; Lachnospiraceae.